GGAAGGACAUAGCCAAGAUGCCUCAGAAGCUUUCCAAGGGAGAAAUGGUUUAUAUGUGAGAAUUGGUUCUCUUUCAAAUAUGUAAUGCAGAAAUGCUGGCAUCAGCAAAUAGUGGGGUGAAACCUACCUGGUCUGUGAAGAACUUGGGGUCAAUGAGAGUACAAAAGAGGCUCUGACUGACCUGAAUGUCUUGAAGGUUCCAGUUAAUUCCUCACUAACAGGGCUUUAUUGAAUUGAUAACAACAGAAUGAGUUUUUCCUGAAAUGGAGAAGAUGGAGUCACAGUAGUAAUGACUACCCGGUGUGUAUGUAAAUCUCAUAUGUCCUUCUCAACAGCCCUUUGGGGAAGGCAGUUUUGAUCUCAAAUUACAGAGGAAGAGAAUGAGAGGCCCAGAAAGCCUAAGUGAUUUGUUGGUGGAUGCUCAGCUUAUGAGUGGCACUGAUAGGCUUAGAAACAUUGUCUCUGGCCCUUGAUGCCCAGCUUUGCACCUCUUCAAGAGGUCUGGGAGGAAGACCAAGAUAUGAAGAGUUAGUGAAAGGCCAGUACUGGCUUCCUAGUAACAUAAGAUGGUUAGCAAGCAAUGCUUAGUGGAAAGAGGAUGAAAAUUAAAAGUGAAAAUUCAAUGUAGCUGUAGCUACUAGGAAAU
RNAcentral lists this long non-coding RNA (646 nucleotides) under Homo sapiens (human). Its description in RNAcentral is "HSALNT0021459". The record is from RNAcentral. Lineage: Eukaryota; Metazoa; Chordata; Mammalia; Primates; Hominidae.